GUGAACGCUGGCGGUAGGCCUAACACAUGCAAGUCGAACGGCAGCACAGUAAGAGCUUGCUCUUACGGGUGGCGAGUGGCGGACGGGUGAGGAAUACAUCGGAAUCUACUUUUUCGUGGGGGAUAACGUAGGGAAACUUACGCUAAUACCGCAUACGACCUACGGGUGAAAGCAGGGGAUCUUCGGACCUUGCGCGAUUGAAUGAGCCGAUGUCGGAUUAGCUAGUUGGCGGGGUAAAGGCCCACCAAGGCGACGAUCCGUAGCUGGUCUGAGAGGAUGAUCAGCCAAACUGGAACUGAGACACGGUCCAGACUCCUACGGGAGGCAGCAGUGGGGAAUAUUGGACAAUGGGCGCAAGCCUGAUCCAGCCAUACCGCGUGGGUGAAGAAGGCCUUCGGGUUGUAAAGCCCUUUUGUUGGGAAAGAAAAGCAGCAGGUUAAUACCCCGCUGUUCUGACGGUACCCAAAGAAUAAGCACCGGCUAACUUCGUG
This 491-nucleotide ribosomal RNA is filed under the name uncultured bacterium. RNAcentral's name for it is "partial 16S ribosomal RNA". It matches the Rfam family "Bacterial small subunit ribosomal RNA", at positions 29 to 507 of the family's 1533-position model. The record is from RNAcentral.